Sciurus carolinensis (gray squirrel) is the source of this 72-nucleotide non-coding RNA. The record is from the annotation of a RefSeq genome assembly. NCBI's taxonomy places the organism in Eukaryota, Metazoa, Chordata, Mammalia, Rodentia, Sciuridae.
GGUGGUGUAGCUCAGUGGUAGAACUUGUGCUUAUCAUGCAUGAGGUCCUGGGUUCAAUCUCCAGCACCACCA